RNAcentral lists this ribosomal RNA (459 nucleotides) under uncultured bacterium. RNAcentral's name for it is "partial 16S ribosomal RNA". It matches the Rfam family "Bacterial small subunit ribosomal RNA", at positions 338 to 795 of the family's 1533-position model. The record is from RNAcentral.
CCUACGGGAGGCAGCAGUGAGGAAUAUUGGUCAAUGGGCGCGAGCCUGAACCAGCCAAGUAGCGUGAAGGAUGACUGCCCUACGGGUUGUAAACUUCUUUUAUAAAGGAAUAAAGUGAGGCACGUGUGCCUUUUUGUAUGUACUUUAUGAAUAAGGAUCGGCUAACUCCGUGCCAGCAGCCGCGGUAAUACGGAGGAUCCGAGCGUUAUCCGGAUUUAUUGGGUUUAAAGGGUGCGUAGGCGGCCUUUUAAGUCAGCGGUGAAAGUCUGUGGCUCAACCAUAGAAUUGCCGUUGAAACUGGGAGGCUUGAGUAUGUUUGAGGUAGGCGGAAUUCGUGGUGUAGCGGUGAAAUGCUUAGAUAUCACGAAGAACUCCGAUUGCGAAGGCAGCUUACUAAACUGCCACUGACAUUGAUGCUCGAAAGUGUGGGUAUCAAACAGGAUUAGAUACCUUGUAGUC